AACCCUUCUUUUUUUUUUGGCGAAUGACCUUGGCCUUAAAAGAGUGUUAUUUCGAACUUAUUGAAAUAACAGCCCGUCGUUAUUCGAUCGAGGUCGAACCCUUCUCUUUUUUGGCGAAGGCCCUUUUCCUUAAAAGGAGUUAUUUCGAACUUAUCGAAAUAACAGCCCGUCAUCGUUCGACCGAGGUUGAACCCUUCUCUUUUUUGGCGAAGGCCCUUGGCCCUAAAGGGUAUAAUUUUGAACUUAUCGCAAUAACUGCCCAUCGUUGUUCGAUCGAGGUCGAACCCUUCUCUUUUUUUAGUGAAGUCUCUUGACCUUAAAGGGUGUUAUUUCAAACUUAUCGAAAUAACAGCCCAUUUAUAUUCGAUAAAGGUCGAACCCUUCUCUUUUUUGGUGAAGGCCCUCUUGGUAUUAAAGGGUGUUAUUUCGAAAUUAUCAAAAUAACAACCCGUCGUUGUUCGUCAGAGGUCGAACUCUUCUCUUUUUUUGCCUAAGGCCCUUGGCCUUAAAGGGUGUUAUUUCAAACUUAUCGAAGUAACAGCCCUUCGUUGUUCGAUCAGGGUCGAACCCUUCUCAUUUUUGGCGAACGCCCUUGGUCUUAAAGGGUGUUAUUUCAAACUUAUCGAAAUAACAGCCAGUCGUCGUUCGAUCGAGGUCGAACCCUUCUCAUAUUUCCUGAAGUCCUUUGGCCUUAAAGGGUAUUAUAAUUUGAACUUAUCGAAAUAACAGCCCAUCGACAUUCUAUCAAGUUCGAACCCUUCCCUUUUUUGGCGAAGGCCCUUAGCCUUAAAGGGUGUUAUUUC
This 803-nucleotide long non-coding RNA is filed under the name Nicotiana tabacum (common tobacco). Its description in RNAcentral is "long non-coding RNA (NTAB_LNC016103)". Lineage: Eukaryota; Viridiplantae; Streptophyta; Magnoliopsida; Solanales; Solanaceae. The record is from RNAcentral.